CGAAGCUGAUCUAGGGAUUUAAUUCCUCUUAAUAAUAAUGUAAAAUCCGGUUUAUGUUUAAAUUUUGAUUAACAAGUCAUCUGUAUUACUACGUUAACAUUUUAACUUUUUAACGCAAGAAUUUCUAUAACGUUAUUUGACGGAUAACAGCAUGCAAUAAAUAAAAGUUUGUAACAUAAUAAUAUUAUCAAUUUUUACCAUCGAAGUACUGUUUAUGAGACAUUUCUAUCUACAAAUAUGAAUGUGAAAGUUGUAGU
Molecule: unclassified non-coding RNA, 257 nt
Filed under: Melitaea cinxia (Glanville fritillary)
Lineage: Eukaryota; Metazoa; Arthropoda; Insecta; Lepidoptera; Nymphalidae
Description: misc RNA ENSMCXG00005015208.1
Source: RNAcentral